Molecule: non-coding RNA, 66 nt
Organism: Mesocricetus auratus (golden hamster)
Lineage: Eukaryota; Metazoa; Chordata; Mammalia; Rodentia; Cricetidae
Source: Rfam
UGAUCAAUGAUGUCAACAAGUCUCUGAGGAUGGUGAUUGAUUCAUAACUCUGCCAAUCUGAGCACC